RNA transcript from Durio zibethinus, 1630 nucleotides. It is a transcript of the gene named putative pyridoxal 5'-phosphate synthase subunit PDX1, with no coding region annotated. Lineage: Eukaryota; Viridiplantae; Streptophyta; Magnoliopsida; Malvales; Malvaceae. The record is from RefSeq and is a predicted model, not a curated record.
UGACGAGGAGUGCAAGUGGAAUAUGCCACACCUCAACACUGCUCACCUCCGAGCAGGAACCAUUCAAAGCACUUGCUCUACUUAAACCUAACUCUCGCCACCUUCUCUGCUACACCUCUUCUCUCCCACCGCCCCCUUCAAUAUCUUCAUAAUUUCUCUCUCAUUUGCAUUUUUCAACUCUAAAAAGCAAACAAGUCUCUCCCUUUAUUCCUCUGUAGCUUUUUUUUUUGUUUCUAUGGCAGGAACUGGGGUGGUUGCAGUUUAUGGGAACGGGGCAAUAACUGAAACCCACAAAUCCCCUUUCUCAGUGAAAGUCGGGCUAGCGCAAAUGCUCCGAGGUGGGGUCAUAAUGGACGUGGUCACCCCUGAACAAGCUCGCAUCGCUGAAGAAGCCGGAGCCUGCGCCGUCAUGGCUCUCGAACGAGUCCCCGCUGAUAUCCGAGCCCAAGGUGGCGUGGCUCGAAUGAGUGACCCACAACUCAUAAAAGAAAUUAAGCAAGCCGUUACUAUCCCCGUCAUGGCUAAGGCCCGUAUUGGUCAUUUCGUUGAGGCCCAAAUCCUUGAAGCCAUUGGCAUCGAUUAUGUUGACGAGAGCGAAGUUCUAACCCCUGCCGACGAAGAAAACCAUAUUAACAAACAUAAUUUUCGGAUUCCUUUCGUUUGCGGGUGUCGGAAUUUGGGGGAAGCGCUUCGGAGGAUCCGAGAAGGAGCUGCUAUGAUUCGAACCAAAGGUGAAGCUGGGACCGGGAACAUUAUUGAAGCCGUUAGGCACGUGAGGUCCGUGAUGGGAGAUAUUAGGGUUCUUAGGAACAUGGAUGAUGAUGAGGUUUUCAGCUUCGCUAAGAAAAUUCAGUCUCCCUACGAUUUGGUUAUGCAGACGAAGCAGCUGGGGAGGUUGCCAGUGGUGCACUUUGCCGCGGGAGGAGUGGCGACGCCGGCGGAUGCGGCGUUGAUGAUGCAGUUGGGCUGUGAUGGAGUGUUUGUGGGGUCUGGGGUUUUUAAGAGUGGUGACCCGGCUAGACGUGCGCGGGCGAUUGUUCAGGCCGUCACUCAUUAUAGUGAUCCGGACGUGCUUGCUGAUGUUAGCUGUGGGCUUGGUGAGGCUAUGGUUGGUCUUAAUUUGAAUGAUAAGAAGGUUGAAAGGUUCGCGGCUCGGUCUGAUUAGUAUGUUUCAAGUUUUUCGGGCUAAGUGGAGCAGGCAGUAGUGACAAGGUUGUAGUAAUUGACGGUUUCAGUUUCGGAUUCUUCGAGUGGAAUCAUUUGGUCUCUUUUUCCAGAUUAUCCGUGUCAAGUCUAGUCAUUUCAUACGGUGGGGUGUACUUUUAUGUCUAAAAUAGGUUUUAAGCCUGCGGAUGCCGGAGCAAAAUAAAAAAUGUGUUAGUUUAAAUAUUGAAUGAUGUAGAAUAGAAAAAAAAGAUGCAAAAAGAAAUAGCAGAAACAAGAAAGAUUUAAAGGUUUAAUUAGCUAUUAUAAUAUAAUCACCAAAGCUUUAAGGCUUUCAUAUGGGGCAUGUUACCUCAAAUUGUCAAAGUGUUUCCGCUAUGAUUUAAAUACUACCAGCAGUGAUCUUGGCAUAUAUAAAGACGAUCAAUUCAUAAAUAAUUUCGAAGAAAAAACAAUCAAGAAAUCA